Molecule: non-coding RNA, 23 nt
Filed under: Cricetulus griseus (Chinese hamster)
Lineage: Eukaryota; Metazoa; Chordata; Mammalia; Rodentia; Cricetidae
Source: RNAcentral
UGCCCGGACUCAGAGGAGCACAG